Molecule: ribosomal RNA, 268 nt
Filed under: uncultured organism
Description: partial 16S ribosomal RNA
Rfam family: Bacterial small subunit ribosomal RNA
Source: RNAcentral
GUGCAGCUGGCGAGAAUUUUUCUCAAUGGGGGCAACCCUGAAGGAGCGACGCCGCGUGGAGGAUGAAGGCUUUCGGGUUGUAAACUCCUGUCAUUUGAGAACAAGUGUUAGCAAGUAACUACUGCUAGCUUGAUAGUAUCCAGAAGAGGAAGGGACGGCUAACUCUGUGCCAGCAGCCGCGGUAAUACAGAGGUCCCAAGCGUUGUUCGGUAUUCAGUUGGGCGUAAAGGGUGCGUAGGUGGCGCGCUAAGUCAGGGUGUGAAAUCUC